AUCCAGCUUGUGAGUGGCAAAUAGGACGAAACGCACGUCCUGGAU
This 45-nucleotide non-coding RNA is filed under the name Schistosoma mansoni. The record is from RNAcentral. Lineage: Eukaryota; Metazoa; Platyhelminthes; Trematoda; Strigeidida; Schistosomatidae.